AACGAACGCUGGCGGCGUGCCUAACACAUGCAAGUCGAACGAGAAAUCCUGGGCAACUGGGAGAGUAAAGUGGCGCACGGGUGAGUAACGCGUGGGUAACCUGCCCUUCAGUUGGGGAUAACUCCGCGAAAGCGGGGCUAAUACCGAAUAAUAUGCUGGUUCUCAAGGGAGCCGGUAUCAAAGGUGGCCUCUGCAUGCAAGCUACUGAUGAAGGAUGGGCCCGCGUACCAUUAGCUAGUUGGUAGGGUAAUGGCCUACCAAGGCGACGAUGGUUAGCGGGUCUGAGAGGAUGGCCAGCCACACUGGAACUGAGACACGGUCCAGACUCCUACGGGAGGCAGCAGUGGGGAAUCUUGCGCAAUGGGGGAAACCCUGACGCAGCAACGCCGCGUGGGUGAUGAAGGCCUUCGGGUCGUAAAGCCCUGUCAGGUGGGAAGAAACUCAUCGGUGUUAAUACCACCGAUGCUUGACGGUACCACCGGAGGAAGCACCGGCUAACUCCGUGCCAGCAGCCGCCGUAA
This 521-nucleotide ribosomal RNA is filed under the name uncultured bacterium. RNAcentral's name for it is "partial 16S ribosomal RNA". It matches the Rfam family "Bacterial small subunit ribosomal RNA", at positions 29 to 523 of the family's 1533-position model. The record is from RNAcentral.